GCGGUUGGUCAAUAUAUAUUCAUCUUGGACAACUCAUUUCAAAUCCUAGUAGAAAAUGGACAAAUUGACAUUAUUAGACUCAUAUUAUAUCAUAAAUGAAGUACAAGGCUCAAAUUAUGCAUUUCCAAAAGUACCAAUGUCCCAGGUAUUGAAGAAAGAAAUAUCAUGGAGUUUCAGAACGCCAAGAGCCCUCGCUAGCCUUAGGGACAGAAAGCAAAAAUAUAUAGCUAGGAGCCCAAUGCCAAGAGACUUGUCUAGCCUCAUGUUUUUUCUGGGCAAAAUCACAAGGGCCCAGAGCAAGCCUGCCAUCAAAAACAAUAAGGUCUCAUAGAGAGAAGGAUCUUUGGGUAUGACAAAAGAAGAUGGGUAUUUGGACCAUGAUGAGAUAACAAAUGACAAGCCCAAUCCCAGCAAUGUAUUGAACAUUGGACCAGCAUAGCAGCCUGAAAUAGCAAUUUGGGCACCAUCUGCCCCACCAUUCACUGCCAUAGUCACAUUGGCUAUCAGAUCUCCAAGUGAGUUGCCCCAAGCCAGGACAGUGAGCCCAAGAACUGAUGGGUCAAUCCCAAAUACAUACCCUAGUGAAACCAACAGAGAGACCAGCUCCUCAGCUAUAAUAUAUGUCCAAGUUAUACUCAUUAAAAACCCACCAACUAGCCAAAGGAACAGACACUUGUUUGGUGGGCUAGACUUCUUAGUGGAGACAAAUGCAAGAUUUCCAAGAAACAUUCCUAUAAACCCUGCCGUCAUGUAGAUCACUAGGCUGCUUCUAGAACCCAAUUUUUUUUCUCUUUGGGUGUCACAUAGUGCUGCCAGUAGAAGUGGUGCCAAUGUCACAGAUGUAACUGCAUAGGGCUUAGACCAUCUCUCCUCACUAGCAACAGGUAUAGUCAACCUUCUUGGCAAGUACAGAGGUAGCUCCAAAACAUAUAAAAACCUACCCAAGUAGUAAAAAAAAGAUGAAUCAAGACUGAAGCACAUUGGACUUCUUUCCUCAUCUUCAAGACUGGUUUUGUCAACCAAAAUGGGCUUUUCAUCAUCAACAUAACCAAGUAAUGGUAUACCCAUCUCCACAACAUCCCCCUGGCUAUCAGUGAUGAGAAUUUUUGAAGAUAGAGAAUUGGCUAAUGGGUUCACUUUCUCUUCUUUCCUAAAGAGAAAGUGCAUAAGGCAAACCACACAAACAUAAAAGAAGUAAAUAGAUAGGAAUGAAAUGGCAGCCCACAAGGUAAUUUUUCCUAUAACAAUGAUCAAGAGAAGAGAACAAAGAGACAAAAGAAAGAAGGAGACAUCUCUAAUGAAGCUAGAUUUAUCAAUUGAAAUCUCUUGGGCACUUACUAAUGUACUUAUUACACCAACCACAGUACUAGACACAAAAAAUGCUCCACCCAAAACACUAUUUAGGCCAACAUCACCAUUGCUAGAACUAGUAAAGGAAACAAUACUAGCAAAAACAUCAGGAGCACCAUUGCCAAGAGAAAGAAGGGUGACACCAGCGAUAGUUGGAGAGAGCUUCAAGAUUUUGGAUAAGUUCUCUAAGGAGGAGCAGAAAUAUUCUGCAGCUGUGUUACCCAAAAGAUAGAAUAGAACAACAAGCCAUAAUAAUAAAAUAGCAUGGCCAAGUACAGGAUGUUGACCACAAGUGCAAUAAAAGAUUUGGAGAUAGUUUAUGUACCCUUUUGGCCUGCACCCUAUAUGAGACCUGAGAUACAUGCACUUGGAUUUGGAAUCUGUAUGUUCAUGAAGUCCUGUGCAGCCAUUGCUCCUUAUCAAUUCUUGAAGUGAUAGAGAAUGGCUUGUGUCCGCCUCAUAGUUAGAUUGCUCGUGAAAAUAUGAGAUCGUGAUAUAGAAAACGAAGAGGAAAAAAAAGGAGGUGUUAAGGAAAAGAAUUAGUUUUUUGGGCUGAGAUUUGGUGUUGAAACUCGCCAUUCAAAAGGAAGCUUGUGGAGAAGGAGAGUUACAGGUGCAGAUAUUGAGAAGUGAAGUCCAUAAAAUUGAGGGACUUCUGGC
Molecule: unclassified non-coding RNA, 2010 nt
Filed under: Hevea brasiliensis (rubber tree)
Lineage: Eukaryota; Viridiplantae; Streptophyta; Magnoliopsida; Malpighiales; Euphorbiaceae
Source: RNAcentral